RNAcentral lists this ribosomal RNA (250 nucleotides) under uncultured Neisseria sp. RNAcentral's name for it is "partial 16S ribosomal RNA". It matches the Rfam family "Bacterial small subunit ribosomal RNA", at positions 86 to 339 of the family's 1533-position model. Lineage: Bacteria; Pseudomonadati; Pseudomonadota; Betaproteobacteria; Neisseriales; Neisseriaceae. The record is from RNAcentral.
GGGUGGCGAGUGGCGAACGGGUGAGUAACAUAUCGGAACGUACCGAGCAGUGGGGGAUAACUAAUCGAAAGAUUAGCUAAUACCGCAUAUUCUCUGAGGAGGAAAGCAGGGGACCUUCGGGCCUUGCGUUAUUCGAGCGGCCGAUAUCUGAUUAGCUAGUUGGUGGGGUAAAGGCCUACCAAGGCGACGAUCAGUAGCGGGUCUGAGAGGAUGGCCAGCCACACCGGGACUGAGACACGGCCCGGACUCC